AAAUGCUUUCCGCGUUCGGUGGUAAAGUUCCAGCAGCCGCGUAACCAGUUCCUCUGUUCUCCGGCAAAAGUUCGCUGGAUGCACCUGCUGGAUACUGCAACAACAGACGAUGACGUAACACGUGAGAGAUUGCCGUUUCAGCACGUCGAUGACAUCGAUGAAAAAUAUAAUUGAUCUGACAUCAGAGAGGAGGAUUCGACCCAAGGUCAAGAUUCAUUUAAAGGUUGUUCGUUCUGUCGGUGAUUGCUAAUUAUUCUGGGAAAUCCAUGGUGAAGAAAGUUACAGACUUUUAAGAACAAUUAACAUUGCUCCAGCCAAAUGGCCAAAAAUUUAAAAAGUCCAUCCGAAAAUGAUCAACAUAGUUCCACUACUAAUUAAGAAUCCGCGCCUGUCACCGUUGUAAUCGAAUGGUGAAGAAGGGCCACGGACAUGGGCACAGUGCGGUGUCCAUAAAUAUUUCUUUUUACGAGUGGAGGAAGGUCGGUAGACUAGAGAAGCUAUUACCAAUGUAGACUCUAGUCUGUCUAGGUGGUCGGUACCUAGGCUCGCCAUUCCGCUUCGCGCGGGUACAUACGCAGGGUCAACGGCCACUCGCGACCCUCAACCUAUUCGCUCGUUCAUAUCCCUCGAGCGUGUGCCGCAAUCACUAUACUCGACGCGCGGACUUCUUUGUCCCAUUGCACGGGAUCAUUUUUCAUUUUUUUUCCCCUCUUGCUAAUUCCAGGAGAUUCUCCUGGUUCCUGGAUUAAUACCACCACGGUGCCAUCAUGGUGGGUUUCUUGCGGGAUUAAAACCAACGGAAACGAAAAAGGAAAUCUUGGACAAACGGUACCUUGUACAUGAACGGAUUAAAAUAGAAAUGAAACGAACGAGUUUGUUUAAUAAUUCCACGCUUAAAGAUAUCCCGUUAUCCGUAACAUCUUAAUCGAUUUCUUGCACAGCAAUUUGUCUUGAUCUUGCGUCAGACUAAACAAGAACCGUUCUUGUUAAUACCGCUUCGUAUGGCUAUUUUUUCUAUCCUCUUGUAAUUCAUCAAUGUCCAUAAGGAAAUAUUAAAGCCCGUAUCGAAUGAUAAUUCAUGCAUCAUAAUUUAACCAAAUACUCGAAGGUAACUUGAAACUAAUAUGAAUUUUAAAUUACACAAAAUUUCUUUUAUCACUUUACUCUUGCAUUUGAGCAUCGGUGAUAAUGGGAAUUUCUUCGUGAAACACAUAUGGUACAUAAUCGGUCUAGGAUGUGUUAAAUAGCGUAAGGUGUAGCUAACAGGAAGAACGUAACAUUGCAAACAUAAUAAAUCAAGCUAAAAAUAAAAUAGUAUGUCCUAGCGGUACUUCUGACGAAUUUAGCAUACGCUCGAGGUGUUAAUUAUCCCGAUCCGUGGUAUUAAAAUACCUGAAGAGUUCAAGGCAGACGUUGCUAUUCGACCUUUUCGUUCAAGUACAUGUCCGUGAUCGCGGGGCAUCGGAUAAUCGGUAACGUGAACUUCCUAAAUCGUUGUUUACAAGCGUCGAGGAGGGAAAGGUAAGCAGCUUUAAGAUGAGGAAGGACGCGGAAGGAUCGGUGACCGCGGCAAACGAGAUAUUCCAAUUCGAUCUCGUCGGAAACCUUGACCGAGAGUAACGGUACAGAACGAUCAUUACGAGAUCGUAGAUAGAUGAGCCGACUUCGAACUUAAGCCUUCCUCUGUUCUGCAUAGAUCCUUAAAGAAUUCGAAAGUCGAAUGAAACGGUUCCUCCACUUCCAAAGAACGAUCCCCCGGUUCGAUGAUCCCGCGGUAACAGUAUCUCCAUAAACCAGCGAGUUUAAGGAGAACCCGAUGAAACGACGUGAUUGUAAAGUGGUACAGGGUUUAUCGUAAGGAUUACCAUGUGGGUCAUCGACGGCUUGCAUUUCA
Molecule: long non-coding RNA, 1894 nt
Organism: Osmia bicornis bicornis
Lineage: Eukaryota; Metazoa; Arthropoda; Insecta; Hymenoptera; Megachilidae
Exons: 5
Source: RefSeq, a predicted model, not a curated record